This 679-nucleotide unclassified non-coding RNA is filed under the name Hevea brasiliensis (rubber tree). The record is from RNAcentral. Lineage: Eukaryota; Viridiplantae; Streptophyta; Magnoliopsida; Malpighiales; Euphorbiaceae.
GUAGCUGACUGAUUUUUAUUUUUUUAGUUUUGGUUGUUUUUCUGUCUUGUGUGAGUAAUGUUUUUUGAAUUCAAUUAUUUACUACUGAACCUAAUUAUUCUCUGAGUAGAUAAUGCUAUAAUGUCUUUACAAUAUGCGAUGCAAAGAAGUUUUUCAAAAAUAAGAUUUAAUUCUUUGUUACUUUUGGAUGAAAUGAUCGUCUUGCAACGAAGUUUGAAUUGUAAAAAUUAGAUUAUAUAAGGGAACUGUAUUCUCCUUAACUUCAAUUUUUUUUUCAAGGAAACAAACAAUGAGUGAAACUUUAGCUGAAGUGAAUGCCAGAUUCCUAAAUUUACCUUCUUUUACUUGCUGUGACUUGCAAUAAAAUUUCUGUGUUGCUGUUAUUGCUCCUAACAAAUUUGUCAACUGAAUCCUGCAUGCUAUGUCUUAAAUUAGCUCUUUAUCUUUAUUUUGUUUCUGUAAUGCUUCUGCUUCAGUCUUUAUUGUUUAUUCAUUGAUCCGUAAUUUCAUAUUGAAAAUAAUAUUUUGUAAUUGGAAGCUUUCAAAAAGCUUAUGGGCUAAGAGUUAAUGGAAAGUAGACUUCCACUGGACUUUGAGAAGAUUUGCUAAUUCUUAUUUCCUUAUAAUUUACAUUUGUUAACUAAUGGGGGAGCUCUUCUGGAAUUAUCUGAUUAAGAAU